CACCUAAGUAGAUCUCUAUAAAUGUUGUCAUGCUACUUUUGUCUAUUCACAAGCAAGUGUUGGUUUGGAAGUACUCGACAUACUUCCAUUGGCAUUUAAAUUAAGCGUGGUGCUUAGGUUAAAUAGCCUUCCUUAGUCUGAUUAGACAUGGAGUCUAGAUUGGUUACUGAACUAAAAACUGCUUGAGUAGACAUUGGUAUAUGUUGUCAGACUAACCCCUGCUAGAAAACUUUCAAUAUCAACCUGGGAAGUCCUGAGAUACAAACUCACAUUGGUUACAAAGGAGAAACAUGAAGUUUAACGAUUUGCACAAGGAAGACAUAGCUCAUUCAUCAUAGAGAGAUGAUUCAUGGAACUAGACAAAGAGUGCCACAAACACGGUGCACAACCGCUAAGAAAGGAAAGCUUCCACAAGGUUAUACUAUACCAUCACUCUUCAAGUAAGGUAACAUCUGAAGAUAUGUGACUAUCACUUUUAUAAACUUCUCCUUGGUUCCGGCAUUCACAUAAAUAAAGAGACAAACAAACAUCUAUGAUUUAUUACUCCAAAUUAACCAACCCAACUGAUUCAGCAUGUUUAGUUCUUUAAUCUUUGUUCCUAGUACUACCUCCAUGAUCCCACACUCCUAAUCAUAUAAGCUAAAAUGUUGCACAUUCAAUCUUUGGAAGAUAUAAAAAAACAUAAAUAUAGAUAGAUUAUCUUUCCAUUAGGAUGAGCGAUCUGAUCUGACAAAUGUUUUAAAUGCUACACUCAUGAUCUUAUUAUCCAUCAACUUUGUCUUGCUCACUAUGCUUAAGGUUAGAGAAGAACAAAUACACUUUUGGUUCUGUUGGUGUUUUUUCACCAAUAGGGCCCAUGCACUUGAUCUCUGCCUAGUCUCUAUGAGCAGGUACACUUUGAGCAAAACCUAAAGGAGUUUUACAACUCCUAGAUUCCACCACGUGAAGGACUUGGAUCUACGAGCACAAACACACUGAGCAAGAUGCUGCCAAUGCCGCACCUCGAAGUGCUGGACAAACGAAGAACAUGGGUGACACCGUAUCAAGAGGUGCAGAUGUCAAGGCCCACACCUAAUCAAAUGAUGCACCUAAAGGAUGAACACGGUGAGAAGUCUUGUCCAGAUGACUUAAAACAUUGGAUCCUUGCCGGAAGGUAAAAUCGGUAUUUAUCCAUAUUUAUCUUUUCUGCAUUCCUUUUCCUCUUUAUUCCAUCACUUACAUUAGCAUAUUUACUUUUCGACAUUAGCAUUAGAAAAGAAAACAAAAUUAUUUGUUCAUUGCACUGCAUCAUAAAAUCUAAAGCCCCAUGUGAGUAGACUUGUGGUUUAAAACCCAUAGGUAUACUGACUGUGGUGGCAUAAAAUAAAUAUGUUUUCAUCUUAUAAUAAAAAAUAUAAAAAUAAUAAGUGUAUGAUCCUGCUAAAUAAAAUUUAUUAGGAGGAAUAUCAAUAUGAUAAGGCUAAGAGAUUUUAUGCUAACACUUAACGAGUUCCACAAAGCUUCGUUGUCUAUUUGAGCUCCACAGAAUUCAAGGAUCAAAGAAGACUAGCCGGCGGAGGACAUAAUAAUCGCUGUUAGGGUGCUGCCGACAUUCAAAUACACCUCCUUUCACCUGCUAGCUACAUCAGAAGAAAUUACGUCAAAAUUCAGCUUGGGGGAGAGCACCCCCAUUUAUCCAGCUAAGUGUUUCUACUCGCGUUUAUACUUUACUUAAAUAAUAAAAAGAUGCAUGAUAAUGAAAACCUAAAUAAAAAUUUUGUGCUUAUAUAUAUCUUUGCUCAGUUUGCUAAAUAAAUAAAUAAAGUGUCUAGGCAGAACUUAAAUGAUAAACUCUUACAUGGAUAUGAUAAAUAGUUGUUGUACCAUGUACCUAGUUUUCAAGUUUGAGCUCUGUCUCAAGUAUAGGCAUAACUGUUAUAAUUUAAACCUGCUCUAAAACUUAACUUGUGGGAAGAGUACUUGAUCUAAAGUCUAAGUCGUUAACGGAAAUGAUAUGGAAAGGUUGAGCUGUUGUUUAUCUAUUCCUAGAGAUGCUAGAAUUCUGGAGAAUUUUGUCUUUGAAAAUCUUUAAAAUAACACAUGAUGAGUUCCUGUAUGAUGAGAGUUUAAAAUCCUACCACAGCCAUAUAAACAUGCUUAUUAGACUAUGAACCAUAUAUUUACUUUUUACUGCUUAUGAGCAUUGAGUGUGGUCAAGCUGUGUAGACCCUUAGGAGCUUGUCAUGCGGUUAAAAUCAAGAUUCACUUGCACGUUCACUCACACAUGCUGCUUCUACUCCGGAAGUACGCAUCCACAUAUAUCCACUCAUUUCCAUCUCCAGAGCCACCCAAAAGUAUUCUACUCCUAAUCCGGGAGAGAAUAGCCAAAAACAUUCUACUAUUUCUGUUUUUCCCUGUGCAAUAAAUGCUCGAGUUAUCUUGGUUACUACCACUUGCUAUAUUAUUUCAGGAGAUGAGUGCUCUAAAAAAGAGAAAAAAAAGAAAAAAAGAAAGAGAAAGGAUACGAGGAAAUAAAAAGGGGCAAGUGCCCAGAACCUCGAAAGAAAAGAGAAAGUGAGACGAGAGGUAAAAAUGGACAAGUGUCCGACAGUAGAAUUAGGGGUACAAGAUACCCACCUGAGAGGAAAGAAAAAGAAAAUGUAGAGCAUCUCAUUCUCCUAAAAAAGCUUCAAAGUGCAAGAAAGGUAUGUAUCCCCUUAAAGGAGCAAAAGUAGAAUUAGACUUUCACCAUUGUUAUCACCAUACACCAUUCAUUCACCACACAUGCACAUCUUGAUUUGACUUAUUGAAUUGUUUCUCUGGAUGCAUAGUUUGACUAUGCAAUAAAUGUCUUGUAAGUAUGUAUUAUCCAUCUCCCACCUAUGAGCUCUAGAUAUCAAAACCUUAUUAGAGUAGGGUGAGAGAGAAAGCAAUAUUACUAUGCCUCAUACCAAAAAUACCACAGACUUUGAGAGAAGGCAUAUACCAUUACUGCCUUGGAAAGGACCUAGAAAUAACACAAAAGAGAGAUUUGAAAGAGUCAUACAAGGAAUCUCUGAGUUUUAUUUGAAAAUCUGCAAAAACUCCAGAGUUAUAGUUAAUCAAAGAACAAGAGACAUGACGCUUGACUAGACUAUUCUAUCUUUUAACUGCUCAAGACACAAGUGACGGUUGCAAGCCCCAUGGUGAAAGGUAAAAUGAGUAAGUUUUCAAUCUUAAUAGUUUACUCUAACUGAGAGAUGAGAUCUUGCUUGAACGCAUGUGUACUUUUAAGGCAUGAAACCAUUACAGAAACUCUUGAGUACAUCCUUGCUCAAGGACGAGCAAGAGGUAAGCUUGGGGGUUGUUGACGGUCCUUAAAUACCAAAUUUAAUCAUCAAAUAAAUAAAGAAAAAGAUCCAAAUGCAACCAACACCUAGACUUAGGGUUUUAUCUGACAGAAUUCCACGAGAUUUGGUGUUUGUCUAUUUCUGCAGGGGGCUAUCAGGAAAUUUGGAGGAAAGGCCCACAUGUCGGGUUUACGUAGAGAUAUUAACGUGUCGCGCAAUUUUCUAUCAUCUAGAAGACUCCAGAAGCCACGGGAACGAACGGGAGGCCGAGCGGGCCCGGGGGCAGGGCGCCCGCCCUCACCCCUUGGGCGCCCGCCCUGCUACAAAGACCAAUCAGGUCCUGUCUCGCGGAUUAUGGUCCACAGACCUAAAGGAUCAAGGAAAACCGUGCGAUUAAUGUCGGUUUGAUCCGACGGCCCACGUUCACUGGAGGGGACUAUAUAAGCAGGAACCCUGGCCCCUAGAGGAGAGCAAUCCCAUUAUACAUUAGCAUAUUUUCCAGAGAGGAUUCAGAGAGAGGUCCCUCUAGGGAUCCAACCUCAUAGGGCUUAGCAUCUAAUGUGAGAGUAGAAUUAGUUCUACUAGAUUGAGAGAGAUAGAGUGGAGGUCCUUAAGUAUCAAAUUUAAUUAUCAAAUAAAUAAAGAAAAGGAUCCAAAUGAAAUCAACAUCUAGACUUAGGGUUUUAUCUGACAGAAUUCCACGAGUUUUGGUGUUUGUCUAUUUCUGCAGGGGGUUAUCAGAAAAUACGGAAGAAAGGCCCACACGUCGGGAUUACAUAGAGAUAUCAACGUACCGCACAAUUAUCUUACAUCUAGAAGACUCCAGAAGCCACGAGACCGAAGCGGAGGCGAAACGGGGCUAGAGGCAGGGCGCCCGCCCUCCUGCCCUGGGCGCCCGCCCCCUCUGGGGGUCCAAUCAGGACUCUGCUUCGCGGGAGAUCUCCACCGACCUAAAGGAUGAAUCUAAACCAUACAAUCUAUGUCGGUUUGAUCCAAUGGCCCAUAUUCACUUAAAGGGACUAUAAAACCAGACCCCCUGGCCCCUGGAGGAGAGAGCCUCUCAACCCUAAUUCAUUGUUCUUCAAGGGAGAAGAAGCCUCUGAUCAAGAUUAGAGCCACCACAUCAAUUAGAUAUCUAGAUUAGCAUAGCUACAUAGCAUUAGAACUAGAAGGAGUCAAUCUUCGAUUGUGUUGACACCGUUUUUGGGCACGUGUCUAGGAUGGCAGGAUAAGGUGGUAGUACGAUGUUUAUAAAGUGGGUUGCCGAUGAGGAUGGUUGCCGAUGAGGGAGAAGUUGAACGUGACUAAGUCCACAGGCAGUAAUAUGGUGCCGAUGGCUAGAUAAGAAAGUCUGCCGAUGACUAUGGCAAAGGGUCUGCCGAUGAUGCAAAGAGGGAGUCCGGAAGCUGCCGGUCGUUAUGUGGAGGAGUUUCGGUUUGUCACGAGGGAUAGUUUUGUUAUUUCCUUAAUUAUUUGCAUCGUUUUGUAUACGGAUUCCGUGUAAUUUGGAAUUCGAAUUCUAAUCGUGUCUGGUUGUAGCUCUUUGAGCAGGGUAUAAAUAUAGACCCUAGGGCCUUGUAAUAAAAAAUCAAUCAAGGAAUCAAACACACGUUUUUACUCAUAUUCCAGCAUUUACUUUUCGACGACUUCGUCAUACUUUUUCCGUUUGUUACGAGUUCUUAGGAAUUCAUCGACUUAAGCUCGGCGUGUUCUCAAGUUCCGCGUGAGUACCUCUUAGCCGUGACAUCCGAGCGCAUCGCUGUUGUCAGGACUAAAGUAUUCGAGUUAUCACCUUUGCCGAUAGCAAGGUCAAAUCGGCUGGCACGCCUUAACGUUUGAAUCGGGUAUUAGCCCUUUGUGUUUGCAGACCAGUUUUGCUUCAACACAUCUUUUGGCAUGCCCGGUGGGACAGGAUUCAAGAUCAAGAUCAACAUGUCGAUCUCUGACCUCGAUCAAGAGAACGUCAUCCCCGUGACGGAGGCCAACCUCAAGGAUGAGCAGAAGCAAGCUAUUGCCCAAGCCAUGGAAGAGUUCAAGCAGCAAUGCCUGAGGUCUUUCAGCAUAAACAGGAGCGGCGAAGUGGUCCAAAAAGAUGCACUGCUGGCACCACGGCAGGUUACCUUCGACGCCAAUCCUGGCAAGCUUCAAGAUAUGGUUGACAAUGCCAUCAAUCGAGCGUUGAUUAACCAAGCUGGUGUACUGUCUAAUACGGUUUUCAAUGCCGUGGCAAGAACUUUCAAGGAAGGACAAAUCCCACCAGAUUAUGUGGGCCCUUCCCAUCAUCAGCCAACGGCACCAGAGGUCACGGCUCCAUCGGCUGCCUUGACGACUGCAAGUGCACAAUCUGUCGUCCCUCCAAGUACAUCGGGGACUACUGGUGCACUAUCUAUGCCGAUGACAACCAACCCACAAAUUUUAGUUUGGCAGCAUAAACUGACAACAGAUAUGUUGGCAUCGGCAUUGUCAGGGUUGACUCUUCCUCCCAACUGGUGGGGUUACGGUAUGCCUCCAGAGUUGACACCGGGAACAUCACAAAUAACUGACAUGAGGGGCAAAACUCCUAUGACAUCGGCACCUCCCAAUGCGCCGGUGAACCAGAGUCCUCGGUAUACCACAACUACUACUGCAAGGCCUCACACUGGAAAUCCUCAAGAUUCAAUGUUCCAGAUGCCCAACGCAUCGGCAGAGUCAAUGCUGAUGCAACAGAGAUCUAUGGCCCAGUCGGGGUAUGUCAAUUCAACGACAGUACCCAAUUACCAAUCAUCGGCAGCACCUAUGCCGAUGAAUGCUAAUAAUGGAUGGCUUGGACAGCAAGCCUUUCCACAAUCGCCCCAGCAGAGUUACCAGACUACAGGGUUCCAGCAAGGGCAGGUCUAUCCCGGGUUCCAAGGUCAGGGGAUUCCCAACCAGCCAAUGAAUUUUGGACAGCAACUCAGAGGACAGCCAAUCGGUGGACAGCAGUUUGGUGGUCCGCAGAUUGGAGGACAGGUGAUCAAUACAAUGUUCCAUGCAGAUCACGUCCCGAACAGACACGUGGAGGUUCGCCACCAAGUGCCAGAUCCGCAGCCGCCUCAUCGGCAAGAUGCCGAUGCAUAUUGGGCCGAUAAGAUUGCUAAAGUAAUGAGGGAACAAUUUGGGAUAAAACCCAAAGUCAAUACUUAUUCUUAUCGGACACCGUAUCCUCCCGCGUAUGAUUUGAUCCCGCUUCCACAUCGGUACAAGGUACCGGAUUUUACAAAGUUUUCCGGGCAGGACGACACGUCAACCAUGGAGCAUGUCAACAGGUUCAUCAUUCAAUGUGGAGAGGCUGGUAACAGGGACGAAUUGAGGGUUCGUCUAUUUUCAUCAUCAUUGUCUGGAUCGGCCUUUACUUGGUUCAUAUCAUUACCUCCCAACUCAGUAAUUACUUGGGCCGAUCUAGAGAAGCAAUUUCACAAAUACUUCUUCUCGGGGGUUCAUGAGAAGAAGAUCACCGACUUGGUCAAGUUGAGGCAACGUAAUGAUGAGUCGGUUGAGGGUUUUGUGCAGAGGAUAUGAGAGGUCAAGAAUAAAUGCUAUAGCUUGGUUCUGGAUGAUCGGCAGCUAGCCGAUUUGGCUUUCCAGGGUUUGUUGCCACAUAUCAGGGAUAAGUAUGCCUCUCAGGAGUUCGAAAGUUUAAGUCAUUUGGUGCAGAGGAUUUCUGAUCAAGACAUCAAGCCUUUCGAGCCUAAAAGAGCAUGGAAUAGGAAAGUGUCAUUUGUCGAUGAAGCAACAAGCUCGGAUUCUGAUGAAGAACCAGUAAUCGGCUUGGCAGAGUGGGUAAAAAACAAGAAGCCGAUGUCUUGUCCUUUUGGGCAGAAGGAACCAGAGAAGUUUGCUUUUGACACCGCUAAGGCUGAUAGGAUAUUUGACUUUCUACUUCAGGAAGGUCAGAUCAAACUGUCACCUAACCAUGUGAUCCCAUCGGCAGAAGAGUUGAAGAGGAUGAGAUAUUGCAAGUGGCAUAAUGCAACUUCCCAUGACACCAACGAGUGCAAAGUAUUCAGACAGCAGCUGCAAUCGGCUAUAGAGUCAGGGAGAAUCAAGUUUGACAGCUCCAAAGCCCAGAAGCCGAUGAAGAUAGACCAACAUCCUUUCCCGACAAACAUGUUGGAUGCUAAGGGGAAGGCUAAGGUCUUAACAUCGGAGACAGCUGAGAAGAGUGCAUCGGUAGAUCCUCAGCAUCAAGUUACUACUGCCGAUGCAAGAAGUAAGGGCUUGGUCCAGGAAGGAACUAGCUCAGGAAGGCCUCCUCGAUCUGGUAUCGUCAUAACUCAUAGAAGGCCUCGAGAAAAAUGGCAACAACGGGAAGAUCGGUAUCGGCGCCAGCAGGAAGAUUAUCGACGGGAAGAAGAAAGACGCCGACAGGAGUGGAAUCGGCACAGGGAUCAUUGGAAUUGUCCAUUCUUCAUCCAUUGUUGGGAGGAAAAUAUCAAGCUUCCUACUGUCAGAGACUGCCCUGAGUGCAACGGUUAUGAUCGGUACGAUAGGAUCGAUCGGCAUUAUCAUGAUGAUGAACGGCGAUUUAAUGGGCCGAUCAGAGGAAGGGUGUUAGUUCAUGACCGGCUGGGGGGCAGAUUUAGUGGGCACGACAGACUUAGUGACCGUGUCUAGUAUUUUCCCAGGAACCAAGAAGAGCUCGAGGAAAUGGCUGAUGCGCGGGUUCCCGAUGAAUUCAUAUUUUGCAGGGAUGCUAACACGCAUCGUAUGGAGUCAAGGGAGAACCGACGCCCGACGGCAAGGCAAAGGCCACUUCCUCCAUGGUGCCCUGGAGGAUUAACCAAGACACAAAAAAGGAGAUUGCAACGUGAAAGGCAAGAAGAGCUAAACAAGGGAGAGAACUCUGGAAGUCGGCAGCCGUCAGACACUAAGAGGGAAGGUCCAUCGGCAGGCGUCAACAUGGUCUUCAUGUUGCCGAUGGAGUUUCUUGCACCAGCCAGUGAUGAUGAGUUGGAAUUUUCUGAUCAGAUAGCUCAGUUGGCUCUGGAUCCGAUGACGGCUAUCUUUGAGAAACUUGCCGAUGACGAGAGGCAGCAUCUUAAAGCUCUGUUCCUCAAAGGAAGGGUUGAUGGGCAGCCAAUGACCAAGAUCCUAGUUGAUGGUGGAGCUGCUAUUAAUAUUAUGCCGUAUGCAGUAUAUCGGAAGCUUGGGAAAGGGGAUCAAGAUUUGACCAAGACCGAUAUGAUGCUCAAAGACUUUGAAGGAAACGUGUCUCCAGUCAAGGGGGCGAUAUGUGCAGAGUUGACCAUCGGCAGCAAAACCUUGCCGACAACUUUUUUCGUGAUCAGCGGAAAAGGUGCUUACAACUUAUUAUUGGGAAGAGAUUGGAUUCAUGCCAAUUGUUGUAUCCCAUCUACAAUGCAUCAAUGCUUGGUUCAGUGGGUAGGUGACAAGAUUGAGAUUGUCCCAGGAGAUUCUUCUUAUGUUAUCGCAUCGGCAGAAGCGGAUACUUACGAAAGGACCAGGUGCAUUUCAGGAGAAGUUUGGGAGAAAGAUUUUCUCAAAAUUGCCGAUUAUGAGAUUCCACCGAUCCAAGCAGUCGGUUCUGACGACGGUUUUUAAUGGAUAGAUUCGCCGAUGAUGGAAAAUUAGGCCAGGGAUUCACAUCAGCCGAUGAUUUGGUAGAAGUAGAUAUAGGUAGUGGUGAUAAGCCUAGGCCUACUUUUAUUAGUGCUAAAUUAGAUCCUGAGAGUAAGCAACAAUUGACUAGUUUGUUAAAGGAAUAUAAAGAUUGCUUUGCUUGGGAUUAUACCGAGAUGCCUGGUUUAGACCGAUCAAUUGUUGAACAUCGGUUACCCAUCAAGUCUGGAUUUCGGCCACAUCAGCAACCAGCCCGCCGAUGUAAUCCUAACAUUCUACCUGAUAUUAAGGCCGAAAUCACCAAACUUAUCGAAGCUAAGUUUAUUCGGCAGUGUCGGUAUGCCGAGUGGAUUUCCAAUGUUGUUCUGGUUUACAAGAAGAACGGGAAGCUUCGGGUGUGUAUUGAUUUCAGGAAUCUCAAUAAAGCUACGCCGAUGGAUGGAUACCCAAUGCCUGUCGCCGAUCUACUGGUUGAUGCUGCGGCUGGUCAUCAGGUCAUCAGCUUCAUGGAUGGUAAUGCAGGUUACAAUCAAAUAUUCAUGGUGGAGGAGGAUAUUCCAAAAACCGCAUUCAGGUGUCCUGGUCAUGUUGGGCUAUUUGAAUGGAUAGUCAUGACUUUUGGGUUGAAGAAUGCUGGUGCUACUUAUCAGAGGGCUAUGAAUUUUAUAUUUCAUGAGUUCAUCGGCAAGCUCGUGGAGAUUUAUAUCGAUGAUGUGGUGGUUAAGUCUGGAGAUUUCUCAAAGCAUAUUGCCGAUUUACAAAAAGUGUUAGAGUGCACAAGUAAGCAUGGAUUGAAGAUGAAUCCCAACAAGUGUGCAUUUGGUGUAUCGGCAGGGCAGUUUCUUGGUUUCAUGGUACAUCAGAGGGGUAUUGAAAUUAGUCGAAGAUCUAUUGAUGCCAUCAAUAAAAUAGUGGCCCCUACCAACAAAACCGAGCUCCAAUCCUUGAUCGGCAAGGUAAAUUUUAUCAGGAGAUUUAUAUCGAAUUUGUCUGGUAGGAUUCGUGCUUUCAGUCCUCUUCUUAAAUUGAAAGCCGAUCAAGAGUUUGUUUGGGGAGAGGAACAGCAGUUGGCUCUGGAUGAAAUCAAGAAGUAUCUAGUAAAUCCUCUAGUUCUAGUUCCACCUCAACAAGGGAAGCCCUUCAGAUUGUAUUUAUCUACCGAUGGAUCGGUUAUCGGUUCAGCUUUAGUUCAAGAAUUUGAAGGGAAAGAAAGGGUAAUUUAUUAUUUGAGUAGGAGGUUGAUUGAUGCUGAAACCAGGUAUUCGGCCAUUGAGAAACUAUGCUUAUGCUUAUAUUUUUCAUGUAUCAAGCUGAGACAUUACCUGUUAUCGGCCGAAUGCACUGUGGUUUGCAAAGAUGACGUGGUCCGAUACAUGCUAUCUAUGCCGAUUAUGAGUGGUAGGAUCGGUAAAUGGAUUUUAGCGCUGUCGGAGUUCGAUUUGCGUUACGAAUCGGCUAAGGCAGUCAAAGGGCAGAUUAUGGCCGAUUUUGUGACUCAGCAUUGCGGUCUAGUGGAAACCUUGGAAAUUGUACCCUGGACGCUCUUCUUUGAUGGAUCUACCUGUGACCGGGGGGCAGGAAUCGGCAUUGUAUUAGUUUCCCCUAAGGGGAGGAAGUAUGAGUUUUCCUUGCCGAUUGUUGCCACAUCAACAAAUAAUCAGGCUGAGUAUCAGGCUCUGAUCAAGGGAUUGGAGUUGUUAAGAGAAGUUCGUGCUGAUGCUGUUGAAAUAUUCGGGUCUUCUAUGUUGGUUAUAAAUCAAUUGGCCGGAAGCUAUGAAUGCCGAAGUGAAGUUCUCAUAACUUAUUUCGAGAGAAGUAUGCAACUGCUAAAGGAAUUCAAGGAUUUCCGAUUGGAGCAUGUUCCCCGAUUGCAUAAUGAAGACGCUAAUCGGUUAGCUCAGCAUGCCUCGGGAUAUCAGCCAAUGAUUAAUGCGACAUCGGCAGUCGGUGCCGGUGAUUGGAGGAAAGAAAUUAUUGAUUAUCUAAAAGAUCCAUCCAAAAAAAGUUGAAAGACGGGUUCGAUUUCAAGCAACCAAGUAUGUGCUCCUUGAAAACGAAUUGUAUUAUCGAACUAUCGACGGAAUUCUUCUCCGAUGCUUGGGUGAUGAUGAAGCUAGAAGUUGGAUGGGGGAAAUCCAUGAAGGAGUGUGUGGAGCGCAUCAGUCAGCUUUUAAGAUGAAGUGGAUGAUUCGAAGGAAUGGAUAUUUUUGGCCAACCAUACUUGAAGAUUGUUUUAAAUAUUUCAAGGGAUGUCAAGGUUGUCAAAAGUUUGGUAAUAUCCAGAGAGCACCUGCAUCGGCUAUGAAUCCUAUAAUAAAGCCUUGGCCGUUCCGAGGAUGGGCCAUCGAUCUGAUCGGCCAGAUUUAUCCACCAUCUAGCAAAGGGCAUAAGUUCAUUCUAGUUGCCACUGACUAUUUCACUAAGUGGGUUGAAGCUAUUCCUUUGAAGAAAGUUACAUUGGCCAAUAUGAUUGAUUUUGUGAAGGAGCAUAUUAUUUACCGAUUUGGGAUUCCCCAAACGAUUACUACCGAUCAGGGCACCAUGUUCACAUCGGGGGAGUUCGAUGAAUUCGCAAUCGGUAUGGGAAUUAAAGUGUUGAAUUCUUCUCCUUAUUAUGCUCAAGCCAAUGGGCAGGCCGAAGCGUCUAACAAAGGAAUUAUCAAGCUUAUUAAACGAAAGAUUGAAGAAAAUCCUAAGCGGUGGCAUACAUUAUUAAAUGAAGCAUUGUGGUCUUAUCGGAUGGCUUGUCAUGGAUCGACCAAGGUAUCACCCUAUCAAUUGGUGUAUGGACAUGAUGCAGUGUUGCCUUGGGAAAUUAAGGCUGGAUCUAGGCGAUUAUCUUUUCAAGAUCAAUUAACUUCCGAUGGUUAUGCCACUUUGAUGACCGAUGAAUUGGACGAUCUAGCAGGGCAUCGGUUAAAAGCUUUAAUGAGUAUAGAAGAAAAUAAGAAGAGAGUUGCUAGAUGGUAUGAUAAGAAAGUGAAGGCUAAAGAGUUUGCCGAUGGGGAUUUGGUAUGGAAAUUAAUUUUACCAAUUGGGACCAAAAGUUCGAAGUUUGGAAAGUGGUCUCCUCAUUGGGAGGGUCCUUAUCGGAUAAGUCGAUCGGCUCCUGGUAAUGCCUACAUUCUAGAAACCCUCGAAGGAAUUGAAUUUCCCAGAGCAUUAAACGGCAAAUAUUUAAAGAAGUACUACUCCAGUAUAUGGGUCGAUGCAUAGAAGUUUAGGUGCCGAUAACACUCCUAUCGGCUGGAUCCAAAUGCUUGGGGACAAGACUUGGUGUUUCAAAAGUUUGGGUGCCGAUAACAGUCCUAUCGGCUAGACUAAAAGCUGAGGAAGCAGGAAAGCGCAGAUGCAAUGCCGAUGGAAACUCUAUGUGUUAAGCAGCGUCUAGAUUGCCGAUAUAGCGCGUAGCCGAAUUUGGUUGGCUGCUUCUAUCUCCUUGAUGUCAUCAUCGGCAGAACCUUCUAUCGGCUUCAGCUUCUUCUUCAGUUGAAGUGCCUUGCGACCAUGAGCAUUUUGCUCGUGCUCAAGAAGCCUGAUGGUCUCUGGCAAUUGGCUCUCUUCCUGUUGGGCUUGGGACAGAGCGUUCUCUACUUCCUUGAGCUCCGCCAACAGGGAUUCUUUUCUUGCCGAUAGAUCGGAUAUCUUCUGCUUCAGCGCGUCUCUAGAAGAUCUCAGGAUACCGAUGUUCUUGUGCUUCUCAUCGGUCAAAAGCUUCUCUUUCCUCAUUUCAUCGGAGAGUUGAGUCUGAGCGGCCCUAUCGGCAAGCCGCCGAGAAGCUCUUUGGUACUGCAGCUGGCGACUCUCCAGAUGAGCGGCUUGGAACAAGAUUUCUUCAACAUCGGCUGGGAUUUGGCCUCUGAGAGUUCUGAACAGGGUCUUGGUAGGGUCGGAAUCAUCAACCAAUUGCGCUGUGUCCUGGUGAAGGAGAGCUGACAAUUCUUCCAGCCUGACCCUGAUCUCUGCCGAUGUGAUGCCGACCGCCUGAGAAGAGCUUGCUUCUUCACCUUCUUCUUCAGAGAGAUCGAUGGCGAAGGAGAACAGGCUAUCGGGAGAAUCUUGUUCCUGGGAGGGAAAGCAAAAUUAGCUCAUACUCAGAGAAUCGGCAAAUAGUGCUAACGGUAAACAGUGACUUACUUGCUUCAAGGCGAUCUCUUGUCUUUGACUGAGAAGUGCUGACGGAGCUGCAGGCUGAUCGGCCAAAGAUGUCGAUGGAGCUACAGGUUGAUCGGCUGAGAUUGCCGAUGGAACGAUAUCAACUGAAAGAAGACAAAAGGAGUUAUGAGACUAAAUAAGAAUAAGUUCAUCGGUAGCGAUAUUGUUAAAGUAUGUUACCUGGAGGAGGGACAACGGUUGUCUGAAUUGGGAGAACUGCCGAUGGUAUAACUAGACCCACCGGGCCAGUUGUUUGUUCACCCAUGUCAGCUGAUGUAUCUUCUGUUUGAGAUCCUUCCUGUUGGGGUUCUUCUAUCUGUGGUGCUUCCUGCAUAGGUGGGGGAGAUGGUGCUUGCUGUGGCUGGGCUUCUGGAGAAGAAGGAGAAGACUCCACCGGAAUUGGAGAUACCGGAGGAGGAGGAGGAGUUGCUACCUUCUGGCGCUUUGUUCCAGUCUUAGCACCCGUGGUGCCCUUUCUCUUGGGGUGGCUAGACUGGGGGGCAUUGGUACUCUCACACCUGGCUUUCGCCGAUGCGCCGGUUUGCUGCAAUAAUGAACAAGAGUUUAUAAGCAUAAAUAUAGCCGAUAUAAAGAUAGUCAGCAUAAAGGAAAAGAUUUGACAAAUUGCCUUGAAAGCCCCGCAGCAAGAGUGGGGAGCAAGCAAACCGUCUGGUGAAUGUCCUGGGUUCUUUCUGGUNNNNNNNNNNNNNNNNNNNNNNNNNNNNNNNNNNNNNNNNNNNNNNNNNNNNNNNNNNNNNNNNNNNNNNNNNNNNNNNNNNNNNNNNNNNNNNNNNNNNNNNNNNNNNNNNNNNNNNNNNNNNNNNNNNNNNNNNNNNNNNNNNNNNNNNNNNNNNNNNNNNNNNNNNNNNNNNNNNNNNNNNNNNNNNNNNNNNNNNNNNNNNNNNNNNNNNNNNNNNNNNNNNNNNNNNNNNNNNNNNNNNNNNNNNNNNNNNNNNNNNNNNNNNNNNNNNNNNNNNNNNNNNNNNNNNNNNNNNNNNNNNNNNNNNNNNNNNNNNNNNNNNNNNNNNNNNNNNNNNNNNNNNNNNNNNNNNNNNNNNNNNNNNNNNNNNNNNNNNNNNNNNNNNNNNNNNNNNNNNNNNNNNNNNNNNNNNNNNNNNNNNNNNNNNNNNNNNNNNNNNNNNNNNNNNNNNNNNNNNNNNNNNNNNNNNNNNNNNNNNNNNNNNNNNNNNNNNNNNNNNNNNNNNNNNNNNNNNNNNNNNNNNNNNNNNNNNNNNNNNNNNNNNNNNNNNNNNNNNNNNNNNNNNNNNNNNNNNNNNNNNNNNNNNNNNNNNNNNNNNNNNNNNNNNNNNNNNNNNNNNNNNNNNNNNNNNNNNNNNNNNNNNNNNNNNNNNNNNNNNNNNNNNNNNNNNNNNNNNNNNNNNNNNNNNNNNNNNNNNNNNNNNNNNNNNNNNNNNNNNNNNNNNNNNNNNNNNNNNNNNNNNNNNNNNNNNNNNNNNNNNNNNNNNNNNNNNNNNNNNNNNNNNNNNNNNNNNNNNNNNNNNNNNNNNNNNNNNNNNNNNNNNNNNNNNNNNNNNNNNNNNNNNNNNNNNNNNNNNNNNNNNNNNNNNNNNNNNNNNNNNNNNNNNNNNNNNNNNNNNNNNNNNNNNNNNNNNNNNNNNNNNNNNNNNNNNNNNNNNNNNNNNNNNNNNNNNNNNNNNNNNNNNNNNNNNNNNNNNNNNNNNNNNNNNNNNNNNNNNAUAUUAUGCCGUAUGCAGUAUAUCGGAAGCUUGGGAAAGGGGAUCAAGAUUUGACCAAGACCGAUAUGAUGCUCAAAGACUUUGAAGGAAACGUGUCUCCAGUCAAGGGGGCGAUAUGUGCAGAGUUGACCAUCGGCAGCAAAACCUUGCCGACAACUUUUUUCGUGAUCAGCGGAAAAGGUGCUUACAACUUAUUAUUGGGAAGAGAUUGGAUUCAUGCCAAUUGUUGUAUCCCAUCUACAAUGCAUCAAUGCUUGGUUCAGUGGGUAGGUGACAAGAUUGAGAUUGUCCCAGGAGAUUCUUCUUAUGUUAUCGCAUCGGCAGAAGCGGAUACUUACGAAAGGACCAGGUGCAUUUCAGGAGAAGUUUGGGAGAAAGAUUUUCUCAAAGUUGCCGAUUAUGAGAUUCCACCGAUCCAAGCAGUCGGUUCUGACGACGGUUUUUAAUGGAUAGAUUCGCCGAUGAUGGAAAAUUAGGCCAGGGAUUCACAUCGGCCGAUGAUUUGGUAGAAGUAGAUAUAGGUAGUGGUGAUAAGCCUAGGCCUACUUUUAUUAGUGCUAAAUUACAUCCUGAGAGUAAGCAACAAUUGACUAGUUUGUUAAAGGAAUAUAAAGAUUGCUUUGCUUGGGAUUAUACCGAGAUGUCUGGUUUAGACCGAUCAAUUGUUGAACAUCGGUUACCCAUCAAGUCUGGAUUUCGGCCACAUCAGCAACCAGCCCGCCGAUGUAAUCCUAACAUUCUACCUGAUAUUAAGGCCGAAAUCACCAAACUUAUCGAAGCUAAGUUUAUUCGGCAGUGUCGGUAUGCCGAGUGGAUUUCCAAUGUUGUUCUGGUUUACAAGAAGAACGGGAAGCUUCGGGUGUGUAUUGAUUUCAGGAAUCUCAAUAAAGCUACGCCGAUGGAUGGAUACCCAAUGCCUGUCGCCGAUCUACUGGUUGAUGCUGCGGCUGGUCAUCAGGUCAUCAGCUUCAUGGAUGGUAAUGCAGGUUACAAUCAAAUAUUCAUGGUGGAGGAGGAUAUUCCAAAAACCGCAUUCAGGUGUCCUGGUCAUGUUGGGCUAUUUGAAUGGAUAGUCAUGACUUUUGGGUUGAAGAAUGCUGGUGCUACUUAUCAGAGGGCUAUGAAUUUUAUAUUUCAUGAGUUCAUCGGCAAGCUCGUGGAGAUUUAUAUCGAUGAUGUGGUGGUUAAGUAUGGAGAUUUCUCAAAGCAUAUUGCCGAUUUACAAAAAGUGUUAGAGUGCACAAGGAAGCAUGGAUUGAAGAUGAAUCCCAACAAGUGUGCAUUUGGUGUAUCGGCAGGGCAGUUUCUUGGUUUCAUGGUACAUCAGAGGGGUAUUGAAAUUAGUCGAAGAUCUAUUGAUGCCAUCAAUAAAAUAGUGGCCCCUACCAACAAAACCGAGCUCCAAUCCUUGAUCGGCAAGGUAAAUUUUAUCAGGAGAUUUAUAUCGAAUUUGUCUGGUAGGAUUCGUGCUUUCAGUCCUCUUCUUAAAUUGAAAGCCGAUCAAGAGUUUAUUUGGGGAGAAGAACAGCAGUUGGCUCUGGAUGAAAUCAAGAAGUAUCUAGUAAAUCCUCUAGUUCUAGUUCCACCUCAACAAGGGAAGCCCUUCAGAUUGUAUUUAUUUACCGAUGGAUCGGUUAUCGGUUCAGCUUUAGUUCAAGAAUUUGAAGGGAAAGAAAGGGUAAUUUAUUAUUUGAGUAGGAGGUUGAUUGAUGCUGAAACCAGGUAUUCGGCCAUUGAGAAACUAUGCUUAUGCUUAUAUUUUUCAUGUAUCAAGCUGAGACAUUACCUGUUAUCGGCCGAAUGCACUGUUGUUUGCAAAGAUGACGUGGUCCGAUACAUGCUAUCUAUGCCGAUUAUGAGUGGUAGGAUCGGUAAAUGGAUUUUAGCGCUGUCGGAGUUCGAUUUGCGUUACGAAUCGGCUAAGGUAGUCAAAGGGCAGAUUAUGGCCGAUUUUGUGACUCAGCAUUGCGGUCUAGUGGAAACCUUGGAAAUUGUACCCUGGACGCUCUUCUUUGAUGGAUCUACCUGUGACCGGGGGGCAGGAAUCGGCAUUGUAUUAGUUUCCCCUAAGGGGAGGAAGUAUGAGUUUUCCUUGCCGAUUGUUGCCACAUCAACAAAUAAUCAGGCUGAGUAUCAGGCUCUGAUCAAGGGAUUGGAGUUGUUAAGAGAAGUUCGUGCUGAUGCUGUUGAAAUAUUCGGGGAUUCUAUGUUGGUUAUAAAUCAAUUGGCCGGAAGCUAUGAAUGCCGAAGUGAAGUUCUCAUAACUUAUUUCGAGAGAAGUAUGCAACUGCUAAAGGAAUUCAAGGAUUUCCGAUUGGAGCAUGUUCCCCGAUUGCAUAAUGAAGACACUAAUCGGUUAGCUCAGCAUGCCUCGGGAUAUCAGCCAAUGAUUAAUGCGACAUCGGCAGUCGGUGCCGGUGAUUGGAGGAAAGAAAUUAUUGAUUAUCUAAAAGAUCCAUCCAAAAAAGUUGAAAGACGGGUUCGAUUUCAAGCAACCAAGUAUGUGCUCCUUGAAAAUGAAUUGUAUUAUCGAACUAUCGACGGAAUUCUUCUCCGAUGCUUGGGUGAUGAUGAAGCUAGAAGUUGGAUGGGGGAAAUCCAUGAAGGAGUGUGUGGAGCGCAUCAGUCAGCUUUUAAGAUGAAGUGGAUGAUUCGAAGGAAUGGAUAUUUUUGGCCAACCAUACUUGAAGAUUGUUUUAAAUAUUUCAAGGGAUGUCAAGGUUGUCAAAAGUUUGGUAAUAUCCAGAGAGCACCUGCAUCGGCUAUGAAUCCUAUAAUAAAGCCUUGGCCGUUCCGAGGAUGGGCCAUCGAUCUGAUCGGCCAGAUUUAUCCACCAUCUAGCAAAGGGCAUAAGUUCAUUCUAGUUGCCACUGACUAUUUCACUAAGUGGGUUGAAGCUAUUCCUUUGAAGAAAGUUACAUUGGCCAAUAUGAUUGAUUUUGUGAAGGAGCAUAUUAUUUACCGAUUUGGGAUUCCCCAAACGAUUACUACCGAUCAGGGCACCAUGUUCACAUCGGGGGAGUUCGAUGAAUUCGCAAUCGGUAUGGGAAUUAAAGUGUUGAAUUCUUCUCCUUAUUAUGCUCAAGCCAAUGGGCAGGCCGAAGCGUCUAACAAAGGAAUUAUCAAGCUUAUUAAACGAAAGAUUGAAGAAAAUCCUAAGCGGUGGCAUACAUUAUUAAAUGAAGCAUUGUGGUCUUAUCGGAUGGCUUGUCAUGGAUCGACCAAGGUAUCACCCUAUCAAUUGGUGUAUGGACAUGAUGCAGUGUUGCCUUGGGAAAUUAAGGCUGGAUCUAGGCGAUUAUCUUUUCAAGAUCAAUUAACUUCCGAUGGUUAUGCCACUUUGAUGACCGAUGAAUUGGACGAUCUAGCAGGGCAUCGGUUAAAAGCUUUAAUGAGUAUAGAAGAAAAUAAGAAGAGAGUUGCUAGAUGGUAUGAUAAGAAAGUGAAGGCUAAAGAGUUUGCCGAUGGGGAUUUGGUAUGGAAAUUAAUUUUACCAAUUGGGACCAAAAGUUCGAAGUUUGGAAAGUGGUCUCCUCAUUGGGAGGGUCCUUAUCGGAUAAGUCGAUCGGCUCCUGGUAAUGCCUACAUUCUAGAAACCCUCGAAGGAAUUGAAUUUCCCAGAGCAUUAAACGGCAAAUAUUUAAAGAAGUACUACUCCAGUAUAUGGGUCGAUGCAUAGAAGUUUAGGUGCCGAUAACACUCCUAUCGGCUGGAUCCAAAUGCUUGGGGACAAGACUUGGUGUUUCAAAAGUUUGGGUGCCGAUAACAGUCCUAUCGGCUAGACUAAAAGCUGAGGAAGCAGGAAAGCGCAGAUGCAAUGCCGAUGGAAACUCUAUGUGUUAAGCAGCGUCUAGAUUGCCGAUAUAGCGCGUAGCCGAAUUUGGUUGGCUGCUUCUAUCUCCUUGAUGUCAUCAUCGGCAGAACCUUCUAUCGGCUUCAGCUUCUUCUUCAGUUGAAGUGCCUUGCGACCAUGAGCAUUUUGCUCGUGCUCAAGAAGCCUGAUGGUCUCUGGCAAUUGGCUCUCUUCCUGUUGGGCUUGGGACAGAGCGUUCUCUACUUCCUUGAGCUCCGCCAACAGGGAUUCUUUUCUUGCCGAUAGAUCGGAUAUCUUCUGCUUCAGCGCGUCUCUAGAAGAUCUCAGGAUACCGAUGUUCUUGUGCUUCUCAUCGGUCAAAAGCUUCUCUUUCCUCAUUUCAUCGGAGAGUUGAGUCUGAGCGGCCCUAUCGGCAAGCCGCCGAGAAGCUCUUUGGUACUGCAGCUGGCGACUCUCCAGAUGAGCGGCUUGGAACAAGAUUUCUUCAACAUCGGCUGGGAUUUGGCCUCUGAGAGUUCUGAACAGGGUCUUGGUAGGGUCGGAAUCAUCAACCAAUUGCGCUGUGUCCUGGUGAAGGAGAGCUGACAAUUCUUCCAGCCUGACCCUGAUCUCUGCCGAUGUGAUGCCGACCGCCUGAGAAGAGCUUGCUUCUUCACCUUCUUCUUCAGAGAGAUCGAUGGCGAAGGAGAACAGGCUAUCGGGAGAAUCUUGUUCCUGGGAGGGAAAGCAAAAUUAGCUCAUACUCAGAGAAUCGGCAAAUAGUGCUAACGGUAAACAGUGACUUACUUGCUUCAAGGCGAUCUCUUGUCUUUGACUGAGAAGUGCUGACGGAGCUGCAGGCUGAUCGGCCAAAGAUGUCGAUGGAGCUACAGGUUGAUCGGCUGAGAUUGCCGAUGGAACGAUAUCAACUGAAAGAAGACAAAAGGAGUUAUGAGACUAAAUAAGAAUAAGUUCAUCGGUAGCGAUAUUGUUAAAGUAUGUUACCUGGAGGAGGGACAACGGUUGUCUGAAUUGGGAGAACUGCCGAUGGUAUAACUAGACCCACCGGGCCAGUUGUUUGUUCACCCAUGUCAGCUGAUGUAUCUUCUGUUUGAGAUCCUUCCUGUUGGGGUUCUUCUAUCUGUGGUGCUUCCUGCAUAGGUGGGGGAGAUGGUGCUUGCUGUGGCUGGGCUUCUGGAGAAGAAGGAGAAGACUCCACCGGAAUUGGAGAUACCGGAGGAGGAGGAGGAGUUGCUACCUUCUGGCGCUUUGUUCCAGUCUUAGCACCCGUGGUGCCCUUUCUCUUGGGGUGGCUAGACUGGGGGGCAUUGGUACUCUCACACCUGGCUUUCGCCGAUGCGCCGGUUUGCUGCAAUAAUGAACAAGAGUUUAUAAGCAUAAAUAUAGCCGAUAUAAAGAUAGUCAGCAUAAAGGAAAAGAUUUGACAAAUUGCCUUGAAAGCCCGCGCAAGAGUGGGAGCAGCAACCGUUGGUGAUGUCUGGGUUCUUCUGGUGGUGACUUUCCUGAGACGUACACCCCGAUGCACGAUGGAAGCUAGAGUGGGAGCAUUGUGGCCGAUUGAGGAAAUCGGGCCUGAUGGAAACAAGUCGAUCGGCCUGCCACUCCUGCUAACCAAUGGAGGAAUAUUGUCAACCUGCAAAAGGAAUACAAGGGUAAGCUGCCGAUGGAGGUAAUAUUGAGAAGAUGAAACGUUGGUUUGAGUUACUUACAGUGUCAUCGGGAACUUCGUAUUCGGAGUCAAUCAUGCCGCGGUAUGAAAGUGCCGAUCUGCAGAAUAGAUGCUCUUUCCAUUCUGCCCACCAUGACUUGUAUGCCUGAGUGAUAAAAGCAGCCAGAACCCAUUCUGACAGAUCUACAUCUAUAUCGGCGUUUGGUGGUAGUUGGGCUGCUCGAGUCCACUCAAGAAGGUUGUUGAUAGUUUCUCUGGGUUUUAUCACAUCGGCAUAAGGAAGUGCAAUCGGCAACUGGCCGAAAGCUAACUGGCGAGCUAAUGCCGAUGGAUUGUAAAAUUCGUAAGUUUGAGGGGAGGUUUUUGUGCUACCAAAGAAAUUCACUGGAAUGAUUCUGGGAGUCACAAUUGCCAUCAUCACCUCAUUGUCCCUGUCGAGAGCUUCAUCAAAUGGAUUGAAGGUCAGAGGGAGCAUGCUAUCUGGGUCAUCAUAAGCCAACCAUGGUCGUUCGUCUCUGGUCAAACCCUCAUACAGAGUCUGGAAGAAUCGGCCGAUCUGGUCCGGAUUACCCCCUGAACCAGGCAGAACUAUGACAGCUUCGCCAAAGUUCAAGGGGGCGCGUGUUGCCGAUUCCUCUUCACCCAAUACAUAGUUUUCAGCUAUAUCUCUUGGGAAACGCUGUGUGAACAGGUUGAAGUUGAGACGCUUGUGCAGAUGCAGAUUGAGCCACAUGUUGACAAACCACCAGGGGCCUCCCAAGUUGCCAGUGGAUUGGCCGAGCAGAAGUUUCUGGGCUACUCGAUGGAGAAGGUGGUAAGCAGCGCCAAGCAAGUAUCGGCCGAGAGGGAAUCGGCCACCGUUAGCCAGUCUUUCUGCUGCCGAUAGGUAGACAGAAGUCGGUCCUGCCGAUCGACCACAGAAUACAAACUUGUCCAGCCACAUGUUCAGAAAGGUGGUUUGUUCCUUUCUGGUGACAGAUCCUUUCCCACGGUACUUCUGAAUGUACCCCGACCAACCGCCGAUAGCACGAGUCUCCACUUUGGCACUAGGGGCAGUAUCAAAAAAGUGGGUGCUAUCGGCAGAAGAUAUAUCUAGACCAGUAAGUAUGGCUACAUCGGCAAGAGUAGGAGAAGCAGGGCCGUGGCCAAAGGCAAAAGCAUUGAGGGUGUCUGACCAAAAGUAGGAUGCAGCUAUCAGCAGUGACUCGUUCCUAUGCAUAUCGGCAAUGGACAAUCUAAUGCAUUGGGCUAGAUUCCUUUCACCCCACUGAACUUCAUUAGAGUUGCUGACCCUCAAGAACCAGUCUUUCCACCCUACAGUUGGGCUGGGCUAAGAGCGGAAGGUGUCCUUCCACAGAUCUAAGGAAAAAUUUUCGGCUCUGAAGGGGAUCCUGUUGGUUUCUGCGUUGAUAAGGUCAGUUGGAUCUGGGUCCCCUAGAGGGCCAAGACAUUGAAGGUGUGGUUGAUCGGUGGGGAUGACAAUUUUGUUGGACAAUUCCUAGUGAUUUUGGGCGUAAAAAGAAAUACAAAGAGGAGAGAAAAGGAAGAUGUUCAGUAAAAUGAAUUGCGAGUGAACAGGGAUAUGAAGAAAAAUACAGAAGACGAGGUGGAGAUUUGACCUCAGGGACGACGAACCCGACGGCCAUCUUGCUGCGAAGGAAGCGUAUGAAGGCGCCGGAGUUGGUGAAGAGGGAUACUUGUCGGAGACCUUAGGAGUUUUUGGUGGCGCCGCCGCUGGAAAAGUAAAGUUGGGUAGUAGAAUGGUGUGAUGGGGAAGGAGUACCCAAGAAAGAACUAUUUAUAGGACAAAAUGGGCAAGGGCAAAUCCGACUUAUCUCCUUGCCGCAUCCGAGAAAUCCGAGGGUACUCAGGUGGAUAUGGUAACUGUUCGCACGGUAAUCCAGGGAUUGUGCAGGUGAUUUGACGGAAAGCGGUCAUUAUCUGAAGAUAUUUUACUGUGCGAGAUCUCCUGGUCGGUCCAUCGGCAAUAUUCUAUAACGGUCAUAUUGCCGAUGGGCGGAUAGAGGGGAAGUAACCGUUUGUGCGAAUAUCCUGGUCAGAACAUCGGCAGAUCUUUGUAACCGUAUUGUUGCCGAUGUACGACUGAGAAAAAUGCCCGUUUAGGAGGUUGGGGAUUUCGAGGAAUCUGCGGAGGAAUAGGAUCAGAGUUGUUCAGAUUGAGGUUGUCAGUUACCAGAUUAGGAGCAUUAAUUGCGGGAAAAAGGCAUCAUUACUGCAGAGAAUUUCGGAGCAUUAAUAGUUUUAUACUCCGAAACUGGGGGGCAUGUGUUGACACCGUUUUUGGGCACGUGUCUAGGAUGGCAGGAUAAGGUGGCAGUACGAUGUUUACAAAGUGGGUUGCCGAUGAGGAUGGUUGCCGAUGAGGGAGAAGUUGAACGUGACUAAGUCCACAGGCAGUAAUAUGGUGCCGAUGGCUAGAUAAGAAAGUCUGCCGAUGACUAUGGCAAAGGGUCUGCCGAUGAUGCAAAGAGGGAGUCCGGAAGCUGCCGGUCGUUAUGUGGAGGAGUUUCGGUUUGUCACGAGGGAUAGUUUUGUUAUUUCCUUAAUUAUUUGCAUCGUUUUGUAUACGGAUUCCGUGUAAUUUGGAAUUCGAAUUCUAAUCAUGUCUGGUUGUAGCUCUUUGAGCAGGGUAUAAAUAUAGACCCUAGGGCCUUGUAAUAAAAAUCAAUCAAUGAAUCAAACACACGUUUUUACUCAUAUUCCAGCAUUUACUUUUCGACGACUUCGUCAUACUUUUUCCUUUUGUUACGAGUUCUUAGGAAUUCGUCGACUUAAGCUCGGCGUGUUCUCAAGUUCCGCGUGAGUACCUCUUAGCCGUGACAUCCGGGCGCAUCGCUGUUGUCAGGACUAAAGUAUUCGAGUUAUCACCUUUGCCGAUAGCAAGGUCAAAUCGGCUGGCACGCCUUAACGUUUGAAUCGGGUAUUAGCCCUUCGUGUUUGCAGACCAGUUUUGCAUCAACAAAUUGGUUUCCGGAUCUGUCAAGAGGAUUCUUGGUAAUUCUCUAAUUGUGCUUCUAAUUACUUUCUAAUUAUCUUUGUUCUUCAAUAUUAUGAAUAUGACUUUGUUCUAUUUCAAUAUAUUGCUUAUGACUUUGCUCUACUUGCUUAUAUUCAAGAUUAUAUUGUUCUUAGUUUAUCAUAGUUAUGUACUUGGCUUAGUUAGAUUGGAUCUAUAUACAUGUUUAGGAUCGUAUAGCGUUUAUCCAUCGGAUCCAUGGGUAAAUGAUAGAUAUUGUGUAGGCGUGGUGCUUAUACCAUAUUUAUCUGCGAUUGUACCCAAUAUGCCAGAUCGUGGGGUGGUUUGUGAUAGUGAUAGCUUCAUUGAUUCUUAUAUAGUCCCCCUCUCGUGUAUUGGGCUGGCAGAGCAACAUUAUUACAGGGGAGUGAUUGCUAUGUUUCUCAUAUUCCUUGCUAAUAUCACUAUGCAUGGGUGUAGUCUUGUCUCGCAAUGAUUGCUAAGUAUGCUUGCACUAACUAUGAUAAUGCUAGACUAUAUAGUUGAGAAUAACUUAGGGAAUAUUCUUGUAGUUCGUUCUAAUACCAUGCUAAUGACUUUCUAGAGUAUCUAAUUGAGGUGCUUAUCAUAUUUAUAUGUGGCUGAUCAGAUCAAUUAUCUUUAUCACUAUUCAUUGUUUUAUAUCUUUUAUGUGACACUUACCCCUGUAUGAAAGAGUUAGAUAAAUGUUCUCAAUUAUACAUGCAAUGAUAGAUACUCAAUCUCAUAUUCUAUUCUGUAAUCAAUAGUGAUGAUUGCUAAUCCCUUCCGAGUGGUAAAAAUAUAAAUAACGAUACCUGGAAUACUUCCCGGUUAAAAUGCUACAUCGGUAUUAAUCUGUGCGCUUGCAGAUACCAUUCUUUAUUUAUUUAGAAGAGCAAUUGCAUAUUUCAAUACCGCGUCUCUCAUAUCAUGCUGGGGAUGACAACUUGGCUUAAGUGGUGUGAGGGAUAGGUUUGGCAUUUUUGGCACUGUUACUAGAUUUAGAGAACUUAGUCUACUUUUGGUAAUGAUGUUAAGAAUACCCAACACCCGGCCUGUCGGUGUCUACUCCGAGGUUGUACCUGCGGGAUCAAGUCUCCUAACCCGAGGCUUGCUCCGAGGAUUCUUCAGUAUUUUGACUUCUAAAUUCUAGUAAGUUCUUUGUUCUUAUUGUUCUUUGGUUUAUGAGUUUACUUUAAUCUCUUCCGGUUGAGUUUAGAGUAAUCAUUGCUAGCGUAAACAUGGUGUUUGUGCUAGGGUACUCAUAGAUAUCCCCUGUAUAGCCGGACCGUGGUAGUAGCGAGGAACGUGACAUUUCCGAGCUACCUUUGUAGCCCACAUCCCGUUGCAGGAUCGAUAGGGUUUAUAGGUGCGGGUCGAACAUCCUCUGUGGUGUCUAGAUUCCGUAAGCCUCCCCAAUAGAACAGUAGAUCAUCCUUACUAAGGUUAGAAUGAGAGUACGGUUGUAGUCUUCUCUAUACAUCGCUCACAUCGAAUCACAUUGUUUGUAGCCUAGAGGGUAGUAGCAAUAGAUUUAGUUAGUCAGAUGCAUGCUUUCUCCCAGUGGUAAAAAUAUAAAUACGAUACUCUGGAUAACCUCCCAGGUGAAGUGCUCACCGAUAUCCGUGUGCUUGCGGAUCAUUUCCUGAUCGUUAACAAAUAUCAACACCCGCUCGAGGGUAAGGAGACACGGGUGGCUUUGUUAUGUAGGAGCCCUGACCUCGAACGUCUCGAGGGGUGUCGUGAUGGGAUAUUACACCUGCUGCACUGUGCUGGGUUGUACUUUUUCUCCAAUCUUGAGGAUAAAGCUAGAAAAAGUAGAGAUUUGACGGGUGCUUGUUCCCCUAUCAUGCUUCCUAUGACUGUUGGGUUAGGUGGGAGCAUGGUAGUCACAUUAAAUGCUCUAGCUCCCGUACCCGCAACAGGCGGCGUGGAACGCUUUUCUGCUUGAGGCUCGCCGAUUUGCUCAACGCUCUUUUUGUAAUCGACGGUCACUGGCUAUCGAGCCCUUGCCGAUUUGCUCGACCUUGUUUCCGUAUUCAAGGCUAUGGUCGACAACGUGACUGUUGAUAUUUGGGAAGGCAAUAAGGAAUUGAUCCGCAAGCGCACGGAUAUCGGUGAGCACUUCACCCGGGAUGUUAUCCAGAGCAUCGUAUUUAUAUUUCUACCACUAGGAGAAAGAGUGCAUCUGACUAACCCGGUCUAUUACUACUAACCUUUAGGCUACAAAGAAUGUUUCUCGAUGUGAGCGAUGUAUAAAGAAGACUACAACCGUAAUCUCUUUCUAACCUUGGUAAGGAUAAUCUACUGUUCUACUAGGGAGGCUCACGGAAUCUAGACACCACAGAGGAUGUUCAACCCGCACCUAUAAACCCUAUCGAUCCUACUAACGGGAUAUGGGCUGCAAAGGUAACUCGGAAAUGUCAAGUUCCUCGCUACUACCACGGUCCAGCUAGUCAGGGGAUAUCUAUGAGUAUCCUAGCCCAAACACCACGUCUACGCUAGAGGUGAUUACUCUAAACACUACGCAAAGAGAUUAAAGUAAACUCAUAAACCAAAGAACAAUAAAACAAGAACUUACUAGUAUUUAGAAGUUGAAAUACUGAAGAAUCAUAGGAGCAAGCUUCGGGUUAGGAGAACUUGAUCCCGCAGGUACAACCUCGGAGUAGACACCGACAGGCCGGGCUUCCUCCGAUCUACACCUCCACUCUAUCUCUCUCAAUCUAGUAGAUCUAGUCUACUCUCACAUUGGAUGCUAAGCCCUAAGUCUAUUUAGACGAAAGGUUAUCUUUCGAGGGCCCCUCUCAACUCUAUGAUGAACAUGUUCUCCUCUAGGGGCCAGGGGGUCUGCUUAUAUAGUCCCCUCAGGUGAACGUGGGCUGACGGAUCAAACCGACAUUGAUUGAACGGUUAUCCUUGAUCCUUUAGGUCGGUGGAGCAUGAUCCGCAAAGUUGAACGUGAUUGGCCGAAACACCAGGGCGGGCGCCCUAGGGGGGAGGGCGGGCGCCCUGCCCCCGGGCCCGAUCGCCUUCCCGUUCGUUCCCGUGGCUUCUGGAGUCUUCCAGAUGGUAGAAAAUUGCGCAGUGCGUUAAUAUCUCUAUGUAAUCCCGACAUGUGGGCCUUUCUUCCUUAUUUCCUGAUAACCCCUUGCAGAAACAGAUAAACAACAAAACUCAUGGAAUUCUGUCAGAUCAAACCCUGGUUCUAGGUGUUGUUUGUAUAUUGGUCCUUUCCCUUGUUUAUUUGAUAAUUAAAAUUGAUACUUAAGAACAGUCAACAAAUACCCCCAUACUUAGGCUUUUACUCGUCCUUGAGAAAAGGAUGGUUAAGAAAAAUAUCUCGGGUUAAAACGUUGUAAAGCAUUCUCUUCAUACCUGUAGGGUGUUGUAAAAAUUCACUUUGUACCGUAGUCAGGGGAAUAUAUGGUCAAGAGUAGAGAUCCUUUCUUCUCAAUCCUCUUACUUGGAGUUUUUGUAUAUUUUUGAAAAGAAAUUUUAGUAUACCAUUAUCCUCAUGGGUUCUCAGGUCACUCAUUAUCUUCUAUAUAUCUCACUGAGGCUGUUUUAGUUUGCAAAAAUUCUCAAGCAUACUUACCUUGCAUUUAUUGCCUGAUCAAAACAGGAUCCGAGAAGAGGAAUGUCAUACUCUUAGAUCAAAGACUUUGGAAAUUAAAAACUUGUCAACUCUUACUGGCAUAUUGCUUAUUAGAGGGACCAUGGGCUAUCAUUUUCUUUCUUUUCUCUCUUUCUUUUCAGGUGGAUACCGAGGUACCCCUAAUUCUACUACCGGACACUUGUCCAUUUUUUUCUAUGAGGUUGUCGAGCACUUGCUCCCUUUUAUUUCCUCAAAAUAUCCUUAUUUUUGCAUAGCCCAUGCCUCUAACACAAUAAUACAUUGAAUAAAUGUCUUGAUCUUAGGAGUAUGAUAAAUCUCUCAACAAGGGUCUAACUCAUUUUGAACAAACUCAAAACAGAGCAGAUAGCUUUUAUAAUUAUCAAUUAAUAUUUUUAGGUUUAGUAGGCAUAUAAAACACUAAGGAUGGUAGCUAGAAUUUUUGAAGACUUUGAAAUAAAUUCUCCAAGCAACAGUGAUAUCAAGAAUAAGAUACUCAUACUCUACCAUCUCACAUUCCACAAUGACUUAAGUAACGCAGGGUUUUAAAAUGAUUUGUAAUAAUUGCAAGUUUUCAGGAAAUAUCACAGAGUGAGAUUAAUCAUGAUUAGAAACAUUUUAAUCUUUUUAAUUUAUCAUGUCAGAGACAAUAUUCUGCAUAAUCCAAGAUAUAUAUGUGUAAAGUGUGCAGAGUAUGUACCUGAAUCGUGGAGUGGUGUAGUCAAAGUGUGUUUGGCAUGUCGAGGGAUCUCCCCCAUACUUGUUUUCUACUUUCUUGCAUAAAAAUAAAGUAGAGACACACAAGACAUAAUAAUAAUAAUAAUACUUUUUAUUAAUCUUCAGGCAUUUAUUACAAAUGACUAGUAAUGAACUGAAGCUAAUAAUAGAUCUAAACCGAAUUUAAAGAUAAAUAACUAAGAUGCAUUGCCUCAAGAUCUGAUCUAGAUAACUUAGCGGCGCUCUAACUCCCUGAUUUUCUUAUUGGCACUAGCAAGAUCAUGCCUAAGACCUAGUAUAAUGGUGUUUUGGUUAGAGAGCUGCCUAGUGAUAGAGUUAACCGAGGACUGGAGUUCUAUGAUGAUCCUGUCUAGCCUACGAACGUCCUCAUCAAUAUCUACUAUAGUCUUGCGGCGCUUAGGAGGUGUCUCGAGAGCAUUGAGAGUGCGCUUCGGAGCUGCCUUUGGAGGGAUGAAACAGACUUUGGCUGCUCUAAUCCUCUCAAAGUAAGGCCUCUCCUCCUCCGUAGUGUAGCGGAUGCUGCUGAUCUCGCCGCUCCGGUUGGUCUUGACUCCAACGACCCUCUCAUUGGGUCUGGGUGGCAGGAUCCUUGGCUGAUGGUCCCUUGAGAAGUAGGGGCUGUGGCGCUGCGGUGAGAACUGGUUGAGCAUGGUAGGAUUGGGCAGAGCCACGCUGGCAUAAUGGCAUGGCUUCUAGCUGUCGCUCUGUGUUGGCCGGGACGAGAGCGUGGGCGUCGGGGUCUUCCUUGGGCUUCUUGUUGAGGUCGUAGGGAACGACUUCCCAAUCGUCGUGGAACUCUUCGGCCAUUGGAGCAGCGAGGGACUAAGCAAGCUCUAAUUGAAGAAGGAGAGAAGGCUUGAAUAGAUUGGUGUUUGAAAAUUGACGUCAGGGGUCUGUUUAUAUAGGGGUCAAAAAGUGCCUCUAGGGUUUGCUCGGGCUACUCCCGCCGCCGUACGUGCGAAACUUUCCAUCUGUAGGAUUAUUUGGUUUACCAUAAAUGUGUUUAUCGCGACGGAGGAAAUCAGGACUGAGAGGGGGCACGGGCUGGGCGCCCGCCCUCUUCAUCAGGGCGCCCGCCCUGUGCCUGGCCCCUCUGUGGGCCCGCUUCCUCGAGCGUGCUUCUAGAUGCAGACUUUAUUCGGAAAAUAUAUUGUGGCCCAAAAACGUCAGAUUAAAAAGGUUGGGUUCUAAAUCUCCACGGGAAGGUAGAAAUGGAUCACGUCUAUCUCUUCUAAUUCUUUAAUGGGCUCUAAAAAUAAUUUAAGACGUUGACCAUUUACCUUGAAUAACGUACCUUCAUCAUUUUGAAGUGUGAUAGCUCUGUGGGAUGAUGAAUUGAUUACCUUGAAUGGUCCUUCCCAUUUACUCUGGAGUUUUCCAUGCACGAAAAGCUUCACCUGGAAUUAAAAAGUAAUACCUUAUCUCCGGGUGCGAACUCCUUCUUCUUGAUCCUCUUGUCAUGCCACCUUUUGACUCUUUCUUUAUAGAUCUUCGAAUUGUGAUAUGCUUUCUCUCGCUAUUCUUCCAAUUUUGAUAGUUGCAUUCUUCUAUAAUCUCCAGCGACAUCUAGGUCCAUAUUCCAUCUCAUUAUGGCCCAGUGUGCUUUGAACUCUAGUUCAACAUGUAGGUGGCAAGUCUUCCCGUACACCAAUUGGUAUGGGGACAUUCCAAUUGGGGUCUUGUAUGCUGUCCGGUAUGCCCAGAGUGCAUCGAGUAACUUGUCCUUCCAUGCCGUUCCCAUUUCAUUGACUGUCUUCUAAAGAAUAUUCUUGAUUUGCUUAUUGGAAGUCUGUGCUUGGCCACUUGUCUGAGGAUGAUAGGGGGUAGCAACAUUGUGACGGAUUCCAUGAUUUGAUAGAUAUUGCUUAAAGCGUUUGAAGUGUGCUCCUCCAUCACUUAUCACUACUCUGGGGACUCCAAAUCUUGGAAGUAUAACUUCUUUAAACAUCCUCUUUGAACUGAUGUUGUUGGCAUGUUUGCAAGGUAAUGCCUCUACCCACUUGGAGACGUAGUCAACUGCCACCAAGAUGAACUCACACUUCUUUGAUGGGGGAAAUGGACCCAUGUAAUCUAUUCUCCAAACAUCAAAGAGCUCAAUCUAAAGGUUGUUGGUGUUGACGGUCCUUAAGUAUCAAAUUUAAUUAUCAAAUAAAUAAAGAAAAGGAUCCAAAUGAAAUCAAGAUCUAGACUUAGGGUUUUAUCUGACAGAAUUCCACGAGUUUUUGUGUUUGUCUAUUUCUACAGGGAGUUAUCAGGAAAUACGGAAGAAAGGCCCACACGUCGGGAUUACGUAAAGAUAUUAACGUGCCGCGCAAUUAUCUUACAUCUAGAAGACUCCAGAAGCCACGAGACCGAAGCGGAGGCGAAACGGGGCCUGACCCUGGGCGCCCGCCCACCUCCUGAGUCCAAUCAGGACUCUGCUUUGCGGGAGAUUUCCACCGACCUAAAGGAUGAAUCUAAACCAUACAAUCUAUGUCGGUUUGAUCCAACGGCCCAUAUUCACUUGAAGGGACUAUAAAACCAGACCCCCUGGCCCCUGGAGGAGAGAGCCUCUCAACCCUAAUUCAUUGUUCCAUCAAGGGAGAAGAAGCCUCUGAUUCAGAUUAGAGCCACCACAUCAAUUAGAUAUCUAGAUUAGCAUAGCUACAUAGGAUUAGAACUAGAAGGAGUCAAUCUUNNNNNNNNNNNNNNNNNNNNNNNNNNNNNNNNNNNNNNNNNNNNNNNNNNNNNNNNNNNNNNNNNNNNNNNNNNNNNNNNNNNNNNNNNNNNNNNNNNNNAGAGGAUCUUGGUAAUUCUCUAAUUGUGCUUCUAAUUGCUUUCUAAUUAUCUUUGUUCUUCAAUAUUAUGAAUAUGACUUUGUUCUACUUCAAUAUAUUGCUUAUGACUUUGCUCUACUUGCUUAUAUUCAAGAUUAUAUUGUUCUUAGUUUAUCAUAGUUAUGUACUUGGCUUAGUUAGAUUCGAUCUAUAUACAAGCUUAGGAUCGUAUGCAUUUAUCCAUCGGAUCCUUGGGUAAAUGAUAGAUAUUGUGUAGGCGUGGUGCUUAUACCGUAUUUAUCUGCGAUUGUACCCAAUAUGCCAGAUCGUGGGGUGGUUCGUGAUAGUGACAGCUUCAUUGAUUCUUAUAUAGUCCCCCUCUCGUGUAUUGGGCUGGCAGAGCAACAUUAUUACAGGGGUGUGAUUGCUAUGUUUCUCAUAUUCCUUGCUAAUAUCACUAUGCAUGGGCGUAGUCUUGUCUCGCAAUGAUUGCUAAGUAUGCUUGCACUAAUUAUGAUAAUGCUAGACUAUAUAGUUAAGAAUAACUUAGGGAAUAUUCUUGUAGUUCGUUCUAAUUCCAUGCUAAUGACUUUCUAGAGUAUCUAAUUGAGGUGCUUAUCAUAUUUAUUAUGUGGCUAGAUCAGAUUAGUUAUCCUUGUCACUAUUAUUAUUUCAUAUAUCUUUUAUGUGACACUUAUCCCUGUAUGAAGAGUUAGAUAUAAUGUUCUCAAUUAUACAUGCAAUGAUAGAUGCUCAAUCUCAUAUUUUUACCCUUCCUAGUGGUAAAAAUAUAAAUAACGAUACCUGGAAUACUUCCCGGUUAAAAUGCUGCAUCGGUAUUAAUCUCUGCGCUUGCAGAUCCCAUUCAUUAUUUAUUUAGAAGAGCAAUUGCAUAUUUUAAUACCGCGUCUCUUAUAUCAUGCUGGGGAUGACAACUUGGCUUAAGUGGUGUGAGGGAUAGGUUUGGCAUUUUUGGCACCGUUACUAGAUUUAGAGAACUUAGUCUACUUUUGGUAAUGAUGUUAAGAAUACCCAACAAGCAUUCUUGGCGCCGUUGCCGGGGAAGGUUGAUUACUAAUCAGGAAUGGAAUAAAAGAUUUUGAGUUAUCAUUCGCAUCACUAAUAUGAUUGAGCUUAUCUAUUCUCUCAUACAGUUUUACCCUGAUAUUUUUCUAUUUUAUCUUAUGCAGGGGAAUGUAUGAAUAGAAGACAUCUUCCAGGAAAUUUUGUUGACAAUCCUGAAGCAUUAUUCAAGAAGACGAGAGCCAAGCCAAAGAGAUCAUCAACACUUCAUGAAGAAGCUUCAUCCAAUCAAGAAGAUCACUGGAACUUGUCUUCAGAGUUCGAAGCCAUGGCGAACAAAUCGAUCCGCGAGUUCUCAGCUCCCACUACGGACAACAUCCGCACUGGACCUGCUGUAGAGAUUGAUGGCAACUUUGAGCUCAAGCCUGGACUUAUCAACAUGGUGCAAUCCAACCAGUUCUGUGGGAAGGCACACGAAGAUGCUAGUGCUCAUUUACAACACUUCCUGGAGAUUUGCAACACAUUCACCAUAGCAGGAGUUUCCAAAGACGCUAUACUACUUCGCCUCUUCCCAUUCUCACUGUUAGGAAGAGCGAAGCAGUGGUUCUAUGCUACAAAGGAGAAGAAUAGUACGUGGGCACUCUGCUCAACAAACUUCCUGGCAAAGUUCUUUCCCAUGGGCAAGACCAAUGCUCUCCGUGGGAAGAUUACAAGUUUUCAGCAACAAAAUGAUGAAUCUGUUCUAGAAGCAUGGGAGCGCUUUCAAGACUACAUCCUAGAAUGUCCCCAUCAUGGAAUGGAGAGUUGGCUACUGAUGCAGACGUUCUAUCAUGGGCUCGGCAACAGUGCCCGAGAAACCAUGGAUGCUGCAGCUGGAGGAGCAUUCUUAUCACUUACUAUACCACAAGCCACAGCUCUUGUGGAGAAGAUGGCGUCCAAUCAAAGCUGGAAUGAAGAGAGGACCCAGACACGCAAGAGAGGUGGAGGUAUACAUCAGCUAAAGGAGGUAGACAUGCUGUCUGCAAAGCUAGACCUGCUCAUGAAGAAGCUCGACGAUAGAGCUGGAGACAAGAAAGAAGUUAUGCACAUGUACGACUCUCACAUGACUUGUGAGGAGUGUGGAGAUACUGGACAUUCAGGCAACCACUGCCCUGAGAUACUUGAGGAUGUGAACUACAUCAACAACAACAACAACUACUACUACAACCGUCCUCAACAAAAUCAAGGUUGGAAUCAACAGAGGCCUAACUACUCAGACAUGUUUGAUGCAGGUAAUUGGAGUAACCCCGUCACUGAAUUUUCUACUGACUGUCUGCCGGUCAAGAGAGGCGAUCCAUGACGCCCCGUCAUCCCGAUCUCCAUUGGCAUGGUGGACUUCCCAGGAGCACUCUGUGACUUUGGCUCUAGCGUCAACAUUAUACCCAGGGUACUCUAUGAAAAAUUCUUUACAUAUCCUUUAUUAGAGACAACCAUGUGUUUGCAGUUUGCAGAUCAGACGAUAACUUUCCCAAAAGGAAUAGUGAGGAACCUUUGUGUUCAAGUUGGUACCUUGUAUGCCCCAGCAGAGUUCGUAGUGGUAGAGACCGGAAAUGAUGAGAGAGCACCUAUCAUCUUAGGGAGGCCAUUUUUGAACACCACGGGAGCUAUCAUCUACGCCAGUGCUGCCAAGAUCAGUUUCUACGUCAAAGGGAAGAAGGAGACAUUUUUCUUCAAGAACAAGACUACACAAAUUCAAGAUCAAUCCAGACGUAAAUCAAGGAAGAGGACCAACAGGAGAAACAGGAACAAGCAAGUGUGGACCGAGUCAGCUAAGAUGGUCACUGCAAUCCAUGAAGGCCAAGAUCAUCAACUUAAGUCACCGUCUUUGACCAAGAAGGACGACCCAGGAAUGCCAAGCAUUUACUGCUCCAUAAAUGGAUACAACUUCUACAAGACGAUUUGCGACACCGGAUCGGGCGUCAACAUAAUGGCCGCAGUCACCUAUCGGCUCUUGUUCGGGACCAUGCCACUAAGACCAACAUACAUUCAGCUCCAGAUGGCAGAUCAGACAUUUCGAGAAGUUCAAGGAAUAGUAUCUGAUGUCCCAGUCAAAAUAGACGAUCACUUUGUCUACACAGACUUUCAAGUUGUUGACAUGGGAGAAGAUGAGUACGAUCCACCCAUCAUCCUUGGAAGACCGUUCCUCAGCACCGUUAAAGCAAUUAUCUACAUUGGAACUGGAGAAGUCCAUAUGCACUUCCCCACAGAAAAGGUACGCCGUUAUUUUACUAACCCUAACUAUAUCAUUGAAGAAUCUAAGCAGGUCAGAAAACGACGCAACCGCAACCAGAGGAGGCAGAUCAUCAAGGACGGAUGGGCAGACUAUGAAGGAGAAUUUGUAAGAUCAGAAGACGCUGAGUUUAAACAGAAUUAUCCAGAGGAGAUUGAAGCACCAAGUCAGGUGUGGAAAAUGAAGAUAACUAUACAAGAAGAGGAGGCGCUGCCGGAAGUACCGACUACGCCACCCAACGAACCUCAAGACGAUUAAGAAAAUGGAGAGUCCCGUUCGGAGGACUUAAAAACACCGAACGCCUUGCCAAGAGGUAAACUUGGUAGUUAUCCUUUCCCUUUUAAUUAUUUUAAACAGUUUACUUAGUUAAUUAUGUUCAUGCUAUUCUAAAAAGAAAAUAAAAAUGUGAAAAACAGUAAACCCCAUGUGAGUAUACGAGUGGCAUAAAACCCAUAAGUACAUUCACUGUGGUGGCAUAAAAAUAAAAUAAAUAUUUUUUUGCUUUAUAAAAUAAAAAUAUAAAAACAGAGAGUAAUAAUUAUUAAGGAGUCUCAAGAUAAUAAAGGCUAGAUAUUUAUGCUAACACUUAAUCAGUUCCACAAGCUUUGUUGUCUAUUUGAGCUCCACAGAAUUUAAGAAUCAAGAAGACUAGCAGACGGAGGACAUUCUAAUCGCUAUCAGAAUGCUGCUGACUUUCAAAUACACCUCUGCCGCCUGUUAGCUACAUCAAGAGAAAUUACGUCAAAAUUCAGCUUGGGGGAGAGCACCCCCAUUUAUCUCGAUAAGUAUUUCUUUCUAUCUAUCUUUAUACUUAUAUUAUAUUAGAAUAUUAAAUAUACAUAACUAUGAAAAAACCAAAUAAAGAUUUUAUGCUUAUAUAUAUAUGUCUUUUGCUUAGUGUGUUUAAUAAAUAAAUAAAGUGGCUAUGCUAAUCUGUAUCUAAAUAAAACUUAAGCAUGGAUAUGAUAAAUAGUUGCUCUGCCUAAUUUGCACAUUUUAAGUUCUCUCUCAAGUUUAGACAUAACUGUUAUAAUUUAAGGCUUGCUCUAGACCUAAACUUGUGGGAUGAAAACUUGAUCUGAAGUCUAAGUUGUUAACGGAUACGAUAUGGGAAGGUUGAGCUGCUGUUUAUCUGUUCCUAGAGAUGCUAGAAUUCUGGAGAAUUUUAUCUUUGAAAAUCUUUAAAAUGUUGCGUGAUGAGUUCCUGUAUGAUGAGAGUUUAAAUUCCUACCUCAGCCAUAUAUACAUGCUUGCUAGACUUUGAGCCACACAUUUAUUAUUUACUGCUUAUGAGCAUUGAGUGUAGUCAAGCUGUGUUGACCCUUAGGAGCUUGUCAUGUGGUUAAAUCAAGAUUUCACUUGCAUGUUCACUCAUAUAUGCUACUUCUACUCCGGAAGUACCAUCCACAUAUAUCCACCCAUUCCAUCUCCAGAAUCACCCAAAAAUAUUCUGCUCCUAAUCCGGGAGAGAAUAACCAAAAAUAUUUCUGUUUUCCCCUUGUGAAAUAAAUGCUCAAGUUAUCUUGUUACUACCACUUGCUAUAUUAUCUCAAGAGAUGAAUGCUCUAAGAAAAAAGAGAUACGAGGAAAUAAAAAGGAGCAAGUGCUCGGAACCUCGAAAGAAAAGAAAGAGUGAGACGAGAGGUAAAAAUGGACAAGUGUCUGACAGUAGAAUUAGGGGUGCAAGAUACCCACCUGAGAGAAAAGAAAAAGAAGAGCAUCUCAUUCUCCUCAUAAAGUUUCAAAGGCAAGGAAGGUAUGUAUCCCCUCAAAAGAGCAAAGUAGAAUUAGACUUCCACCACCAUUGUUAUCACCAGCAUCACCAUACACCAUUCAUUCGCCACACAUGCACAUCUUGAUUUGGCUUAUUGACUUGUUACUUUGGAUCCAUGGUUUGACUAUGCAAUAAAUGUCUUGUAAGUAUGUAUACUUUAUCUCCCACCUAUGAGCUCCAGAUAUUAAAGCCUUAUUAGAGUAGGAUG
This 35620-nucleotide long non-coding RNA is filed under the name Sorghum bicolor (sorghum). RNAcentral's name for it is "long non-coding RNA (SBIC_LNC002928)". The record is from RNAcentral. Lineage: Eukaryota; Viridiplantae; Streptophyta; Magnoliopsida; Poales; Poaceae.